AGUCAUCGCAAUGAGGAUACAAAAGCUCCCUCUUCUGAUUUAGAGUUGAGGAAAAUUGCUGGCAGAAUCGAACCAUAAAAUCUUAGUCAUCACUGAGUGA
Molecule: non-coding RNA, 100 nt
Organism: Glycine max (soybean)
Lineage: Eukaryota; Viridiplantae; Streptophyta; Magnoliopsida; Fabales; Fabaceae
Source: Rfam